GUAUUAUGUUUUUAAAAGAGUUGUUACACUCUUCAAAAAGAAAGACAUUCUAAACAUUCAAUUGUGUGUGUAAAAACAUAGGAUAGAAAAGACCCCUUCAAGCAACAGGCCCAGAGCUAACUAGGCCAUGAGUUCCUUUACUUGGAAUCUUUCCUUCCUACAAAAUGUGCACAGGUGGGAUGAAGAUUUUUGAAGGCUAAUAGCAAGCACAUGCCUCGAGAGGCCAGCUCAACCACAACCUACAAAGUUUUUCAAUAAUGAUCCUUCCGCAGGUUCACCUACGGAAA
Molecule: unclassified non-coding RNA, 287 nt
Filed under: uncultured fungus
Lineage: Eukaryota; Fungi
Description: sequence contains ITS1
Source: RNAcentral